This 621-nucleotide long non-coding RNA is filed under the name Homo sapiens (human). RNAcentral's name for it is "long independently transcribed non-coding RNA 2848, transcript variant 2 (LINC02848)". Lineage: Eukaryota; Metazoa; Chordata; Mammalia; Primates; Hominidae. The record is from RNAcentral.
GAGAGCCUGGCUAGGCAGGCUGGAAACAGUAGCUCUUAACGGUCCCCCGCCCGUUGGUGGCAAGGCGGCUGGACUGGAAUCCCAGCAGGCGACAUGCGAGGAGGCGGGCAGCCCAGGAGGGUUGGACACGGCAAUGUGGACCUCGCCGCUUCCACAACGAUGCUGGCUACUGAUCGCGUGCACUUCCUUGCCAAAGAAAAGAAAUUAAUGUUAUGACUGGAUGAAGACAAUUGUGAAGAAACUGCACUUUGAGGUUGUCUAUCUCUGUAUUCUGAUGGAAAAGCGUGGAGUUUAGAAGCACUGCUCACUCCUUCAGUUUCUAACAAGUUUGAGACUAUGGUUAGGUGGUGAGGAAGGCAGGCUCAGCACCCAAGCCUUGGGGAGACGCAGAAAGGGCCCAUCCCAGGCACUCAGGUGGAGAAAUUCACUGGUAUAGGUUUCCCUCAAAACACUGCUUUCACCAGUUUCCUAAAACUGAUGCUCCAGAAAGAUGCCCAGGGAGAUUCUGUCCUGCUGCGUCCGCACUGUACAGAACUGACGCUGUGCCUACGCCCGUUUCAGAAGCGUGGAGUACUUAAGAGUUAAUCUAAAAAAGCAAAUAUAAAAAUGGAUUCAAAAAAA